This 742-nucleotide ribosomal RNA is filed under the name human gut metagenome. RNAcentral's name for it is "bacterial SSU rRNA". It matches the Rfam family "Bacterial small subunit ribosomal RNA", at positions 769 to 1520 of the family's 1533-position model. The record is from RNAcentral.
CAAAUAGGAUUAGAUACCCUAGUAGUCCACGCCGUAAACGAUGGGGGCCAGGGCGCGGGGUCGACCCGCGUCCGAAGCAAACGCAUUAAGCCCCCCGCCUGGGUACUACGUUCGCAAGAAUAAAACUUAAAGGAAUUGGCGGGUGCCCGCACAAGCAGUGGAGCAUGCGGUUCAAUUCGUGGCUACACGUAGAACCUUACCAGGGUUUGACAUGCCGGCAAAGGCCCCGGAGACGGGGAGAUAGCUAUGCCGGACAAAGGUGGUGCAUGGCUGUCGUCAGCUCGUGUCGUGAGAUGUUAGGUCAAGUCCUCCAACGAGCGCGACCCCCGCCGCCAGUUGCCAUCAUCAGGUUGGGCACUCUGGCGGGACCGCCGGCGACAAGCCGGAGGAAGGCGGGGAUGACGUCAAGUCAUCAUGCCCCUUAUGCCCUGGGCCACACGCGUGCUACAAUGGCCGGCACAGUGGGAAGCGACGCCGCGAGGCGGAGCGGAUCCCAAAAGCCGGUCCCAGUACGGACCGGGGGCUGCAACCCGCCCCCGCGAAGCUGGAAUUGCUAGUAAUCGCGGAUCAGCCAAGCCGCGGUGAAUGCGUUCUCGGGCAUUGCACACACUGCCCGUCACACCAUGAAAGCCUGCAACGCUCUAAGUCGCCAGCCCGACCCGAAAGGGGGGGCGGCGCCCAAGGCGGGGCCGGUGAUUGGGGUUAAGUCGAAACAAGGUAUCCCUACGAGAACGUGGGGAUG